GAUGAACGCUGGCGGCGUGCCUAAUACAUGCAAGUCGAGCGAAUGGAUUAAGAGCUUGCUCUCAUGAAGUUAGCGGCGGACGGGUGAGUAACACGUGGGUAACCUGCCCAUAAGACUGGGAUAACUCCGGGAAACCGGGGCUAAUACCGGAUAACAUUUUGAACAGCAUGGUGCGAAAUUGAAAGGCGGCUGCGGCUGUCACUUAUGGAUGGACCCGCGUCGCAUUAGCUAGUUGGUGAGGUAACGGCUCACCAAGGCAACGAUGCGUCGCCGACCUGAGAGGGUGAUCGGCCACACUGGGACUGAGACACGGCCCAGACUCCUACGGGAGGCAGCAGUAGGGAAUCUUCCGCAAUGGACGAAAGUCUGACGGAGCAACGCCGCGUGAGUGAUGAAGGCUUUCGGGUCGUAAAACUCUGUUGUUAGGGAAGAACAAGUGCUAGUUGAAUAAGCUGGCACCUUGACGGUACCUAACCAGAAAGCCACGGCUAACUACGUGCCAGCCGCCGCCGAA
This 514-nucleotide ribosomal RNA is filed under the name uncultured bacterium. RNAcentral's name for it is "partial 16S ribosomal RNA". It matches the Rfam family "Bacterial small subunit ribosomal RNA", at positions 28 to 522 of the family's 1533-position model. The record is from RNAcentral.